AUCUCUUCCCAUAGUACACUGCUAUGUGAAUGUUAUGUUACGUGGCAAAGGGGCAGAUGGAAUAAAUCACUAAUCAGCUAGCCUUCAAAUAGGGGAUGGACCGUGAAUUGUAUCCAGGUGGGCCCAUUCUAAUCACAAGCGUCCUUCAAAGCUUGUGAGAGACAGAGGAGACAAAGAGGGAGCUGCGGCUCUGGAGAUGAGAACCAGAGAAUCGGCAGCAUGGCGAAGGACCCUGCUUCACCUUGUCAGCUUUGAAAAAGCAGGAAGGGAGCCAAGAGUGAAGGAAACUGGACUCGAGAAGCUGGAAAAGACAAGGCAAAGGAAGCCCCUCUUGAGUUCCCAGAAAGUAAUAUGCCUGCCAGCACCUCGCUGUUAAACAGGUUGGAUAUGCUUCUGCUCCUUGCUUAAGACCGUGACACAGCAGUGCCUCUCUGGGACAGCUGGAUUUUUGGCAGAGGGAAGAACAAGCAUAGAAAACCACGUGCCUUCUCUUAAAACUCUGGCUUCUGGGGACACGCAUCACUUCUGUCUACAUGUCUUCAGAAAAAGACAGGGUCCCCGAGGCUGCCAGGCGUCUUGAAAAACGUCUCUUGGUGUGUGCACCGGAUGCUCUUGGGGGUCACUGGAACUUGAGACUGAAAUAGGAAAAAGAAAAGUACAUAAAAAGAGAAGUGACCUUACAUUGCCUCAAGUCUCUGAACCGGAAGCCCUGUCCUGACCCGUGUGGCUGUGAUCCCCGUGCAGCUGACACGGCUUGGACCGGCACCACAGGAGAGCAGAAAGGCUGGGAAUGCUCUAUUCUGCGAUGUCCUAAUCUGCAGUCCUUCUCUAAUUCCAACCCUACCUGCUCAAAGCAGCCUGAAUGGUCUCCAGUGAAUCUACAGGAACCCUUUACUGUCUGUUUGAUAAAUCUAAACUCUACGCCUUGGCGUUCAGAGCAUUCUGCCAACUUGACCUACUCACCUCCAAUACCCCAAGCUCUUCUUCUAACUUAUUUAGACAAAUCACUAUGGCUCACUUCCCAUCCACUCCCUGACUCCGGUUCAACAGUUUUUUUCCUCCCUUGUCUCUCAUUAUAAACCUCUUCUGUUCUC
Long non-coding RNA from Bubalus bubalis (water buffalo), 1094 nucleotides. RefSeq lists it as uncharacterized. NCBI's taxonomy places the organism in Eukaryota, Metazoa, Chordata, Mammalia, Artiodactyla, Bovidae. The record is from RefSeq and is a predicted model, not a curated record. The transcript has 4 exons.